This is a non-coding RNA of Cicer arietinum (chickpea), 3886 nucleotides long. NCBI's taxonomy places the organism in Eukaryota, Viridiplantae, Streptophyta, Magnoliopsida, Fabales, Fabaceae. The record is from RefSeq and is a predicted model, not a curated record.
AUUUUUUCCUCCUUCUCUUCAUUCAACCGUAGCAUAGCAUUCUCUCAAUUUUCUACCCACAUCGCGUCGCCGCUGUAAGGGUUUUCACCACCGCUGCAGCCACCGCACGAGAGAACCAACGCCACCAUUGUGCUCCUCCCCCUGCUUCCUCCCUCUCGACUGUUCAUUUGUGAUUGGAUCAACUCGAUCGACGAAUCACCACGAUUGCAUCCUUUGAGUUAAAAUAUGGCGUAAAGAAAAUAUCGGAAGUGCGGUUGGCUUAAAAGAGCAACAGAGAUAACGGUGCACUGCUAUGGACCCAUCUAUAGUGAAGCUUCUUGAAGAUGAUGAGGAUGAAACUAUGCAUUCAGGGGCAGACGUGGAAGCCUUCCAAGCGGCAUUGAAUAGAGACAUAGGAGGAGAUGCGUCUAAUUCUCAGCUUUCUGAUUCGGAUGCAGGAAGCAAUAAUUCAUUCAGUCAAUCAUUACCAACAUGGCCAACUUCUGGCCAUGACAACCAGACCGACUGUCAAAAUCAGGAGCCUAAAAUUGCACAACAGCAAGAGCAACCUUCAUCUGAGAUGGAGCUGAAGCAACAAGGACCUGUCGUGGAACAGAUACAGAAUGUUGCAUCACAGGAGGCAAGUAAUCUUCCUUUAUCACAUAAACAAUCUCAAGAUGAAUGUCUCCAAGGUCAAACUGUGCUAGUUUCCCACCAAAAUUCUCAAACAAAUGUGGUCCCGAAAUCUGAAAAAGAACCUGUCUUUAACCAUGAAGCAAUCAAAAUAAAUAAUCCUAACUGUGAAUCUCAGUAUGCAAAGCUGCAGCAGAUGAGUAAUCAACAAGCCACAGUCAACGAACAACCUAGUAGCCAAAUCAAUCGUAGUAAACAGGUGCCAUUUGGUCUGUUGCUCCCUAUCUUGAUUCCCCAACUGGCCAAAGAUAGAGCCAUGCAACUUCAAACUUUAUUUAACAAAUUGAAGAAAGAUGAAAUACCCAAAGAUCAUUUUGUACGGCUUAUGAAAGGUAUUGUGGGGGAUCAGAUGCUUAGAAUAGCAUUAACGAAGGUGCAACAACAGACAAGAAGCAACCCAGUUUCUUCUGGACAGCAGAACCCUGUAAGGAUGCCAACUGUUCCUUCCAGUGCAGCAAAAUUUAAUGAUCCCCAUGCAUUAGCACAGCUGCAUCAGAGAAGUAUGAAUGCUGCUGCAGACCAUUCUCAUAAUACCUCUUCAGCUAUACAAGUGAAGAGUGAGCCGAUCUAUUCAACUAUGGACAUUAGUGCUAAAAAAUCCCAGGAACAGGAUGUUCGAGUAGUGCAACCAAAUCAAUUACCAUCGUCCAGUUCUAAUGCCGUUAGUCAAGAAACUGAUAGAUCCUCAGUUCACAUACAAGGACUUAAUAAGCAGCAACAACAACAUAUUCAUUUCCCAGGGACAUAUGGAAGCAGUGGAGGUAAUUAUGCCCCCUUUUCUGGGUCAACCACUGGUUCAUCAUCAUCUCUCAGAUCACAACCUCAUCCUCAUGAUUCACACAUAAGGCAAAUUCCACAUCAGAGCACUGGUCUAAAUCACUUAGGUGUAGAACGGCAUAGUUCUUUCAAUGAUCCCAAGCGAAUGCCAGGUGGAUCUGUGUCGACUGGGGCAAACAAUACAACUUCACAACAAACUUCAAAUUCUUGGCAACCAUCAGCAGAACAAAAUUCGGGCUUGUUUUCAUCUGUUUCAUAUGUAAAAAAGGAACCUAAUGACCUUUCUAUUGAGCAGCAACACAGGCAUCAUUUAUCUAAAUUGCAUGGGUUGCCUUCUGUUAAUUCUGCACAAACUGAACAUGGUAGUGGUGUCAAUCAAAGCACUAUAAAGGAUGAGUUUUCAAGAGGUUCUUUAGCAUCCAAUAGCAUGCCCCAUACAACAGCUGGUAGCUUGCUAGCACCAAACUCUGCUCCCCCUUCUGCUUCUCAACUAGAUCCAACUGUCACUUUAAGCUCUCAGAUCCCAUCUAGCACUUCGGGUCUUAUGACAAAGACACCUCCUCUAAAGAAACCUCCUCUUGGCCAGAAGAAGCCACUCGAAGCACUUGGUUCUUCACCCCCUCCUCCGAGUAAGAAACAAAAGGUGUAUGGGACAUCAAUGGAACAAAGCAUUGAUCAGCUUAAUGAUGUUACGGCUGUUAGUGGUGUUGAUCUUAGGGAGGAGGAAGAACAAUUAUUUUCUGGGCCCAAGGAGGACAGUCGAGUUUCAGAAGCAUCUCGAAGAGUUGUGCAGGAGGAGGAGGAAAGUCUGAUUUUGCAGAAAGCUCCAUUGCAGAGAAAAUUGAUUGAGAUUAUGACCGAGUGUGGCUUGAAGGGCAUGAGUAAUGAUGUGGAAAGAUGCUUGUCACUGUGUGUGGAGGAGAGAAUGCGUGGAGUAAUAAGUAACAUAAUUAGAAUGUCGAAGCAGCGGGUUGAUAUUGAGAAAACAAGACAUCGGACUGCUGUCACUUCAGAUGUUCGACAUCAAAUCAUGGAAAUGAAUAGGAAAGCAAGGGAAGAGUGGGAGAAAAAACAGGCUGAAGCAGAGAAGCUCCGGAAACUGAAUGAUGUAGAUGGUAGUUCUGGAGUUGAUGGUGACAAAGAGAAGGAUGAAGGUCGCAAUAAAGCAACAAAGGUGAACAAGGAAGUAGAUGACAAGAUGAGGACAAAUGCUGCAAACGUUGCGGCCAGAGCUGCUGUUGGGGGACCUGACAUGCUGUCUAAGUGGCAACUUAUGGCCGAGCAAGCCAGGCAGAAACGUGAAGGGGGGAUGGACGCUGCAUCUGAUUCUCAGCCAACUAAAGAUGUGAGUCCCAAAUCUCCAUCGCCAGGAAGGAGCACAAAAGAUAAUCAAGAAAGGGAGAGAAAAGGUCCAACUUCUCUUGGGAAUUCGGGUGUGUUUCUUCUUGGUUGUUUCAUAUCAUUUCAGCCGCUGCUAGGAAAUUUGGGAAAAAUCAUUCCUCUGGAUCUCAAACUCGCGUAGCUCGUAGCAUCUCUGUGAAGGAUGUGAUUGCAGUCUUGGAGAGGGAACCUCAGAUGGCCAAAUCAUCACUCUUAUAUCAAUUGUAUGAGAGAAUUCAUGCUGAUACUUCAAACGAAUAAGGCAUCAAUUUGUAAGUCGGAGAUUUGCUAAAUUGACUUUAUAUUUUAACCUGGAUUUUCCAAUUGGAUUUGGUCCCAUUUUCAAAUCACCCUCAAAGAAACUACCCAUUUUUUAUGUCCACUCUCUAUUCUCUUGUAUUCAAUUCACUAUAGGGUAAUUUGGAAACAGUGAAAUUAAACUAAAACUCAUCACUGGGGAAAGAAAGAUGAGGUUUUUAGCUUGGACUGUGCCUCUUGACACUGUUGCAUACCUGGCUUCUGCUGACUUUAGCUGUCGAUGGUUGAUAGAACCCAUGAAGAGAAAGACCCAAAUUGAGAGGGAAAUGCUGAGUUGGCAAGUUAGUUAGAGGGAGGGAUAUACGCGUAGGAGGGGAAUUCUUUUAGGAGAAUGUGAAUAAAUGAGUGGGAACAGGGAGGGUAGUGAUACGGGGGAUUCAUUUACAUCAGCUUCUAAACCGAUAGUCAGUUGGCAGAGGAAAUGUCUUUCUGAAGGAGCGCUUGCUCUGGGAUUAUAGAGAUCACUCUCUGUAAUAGUUCUUAUUUCAGUCAAUAAUACGAUUUCUUUUUAUCUUGAAUUCGGUUCCAUAUAAAUGAUAGAGUCAUGUUUGUUGCUAUAUCAAAUUAAGUAGCAUUUACUGUUUCAAUCUCCAAAUAUUCAGUAGCACGGUGCAUUGGCUACACCUGCACUUAACUGUUCAGCUCAAAUUUCUGUAGAUAACAGGAUAUUGAUGUACAUCAGUAGGCGUGUAAAAAAUAUUUGACUCAUUCAAUAGAAAGAUACCUGAUUUUUUAUUUA